GGAGUGGUAGUUCAGUUGGUUAGAAUACCGGCCUGUCACGCCGGUGGUCGCGGGUUCGAGUCCCGUCCACUCCGCCA
Molecule: transfer RNA, 77 nt
Filed under: Methylococcus sp.
Lineage: Bacteria; Pseudomonadati; Pseudomonadota; Gammaproteobacteria; Methylococcales; Methylococcaceae
Also listed under: 30 other names
Description: tRNA-Asp
Rfam family: tRNA
About the family: Transfer RNA (tRNA) molecules are approximately 80 nucleotides in length.
Source: RNAcentral